This 490-nucleotide ribosomal RNA is filed under the name uncultured bacterium. RNAcentral's name for it is "partial 16S ribosomal RNA". It matches the Rfam family "Bacterial small subunit ribosomal RNA", at positions 30 to 507 of the family's 1533-position model. The record is from RNAcentral.
AUUGAACGCUGGCGGCAGGCCUAACACAUGCAAGUCGAAUGGUAACAGGAAACAGCUUGCUGUUUCGCUGACGAGUGGCGGACGGGUGAGUAAUGUCUGGGAAACUGCCUGAUGGAGGGGGAUAACUACUGGAAACGGUAGCUAAUACCGCAUAACGUCGCAAGACCAAAGAGGGGGACCUUCGGGCCUCUUGCCAUCAGAUGUGCCCAGAUGGGAUUAGCUAGUAGGUGGGGUAACGGCUCACCUAGGCGACGAUCCCUAGCUGGUCUGAGAGGAUGACCAGCCACACUGGAACUGAGACACGGUCCAGACUCCUGCGGGAGGCAGCAGUGGGGAAUAUUGCACAAUGGGCGCAAGCCUGAUGCAGCCAUGCCGCGUGUAUGAAGAAGGCCUUCGGGUUGUAAAGUACUUUCAGCGGGGAGGAAGGGAGUAAAGUUAAUACCUUUGCUCAUUGACGUUACCCGCAGAAGAAGCACCGGCUAACUCCGUG